GACGAACGCUGGCGGCGUGCUUAACACAUGCAAGUCGAACGGAAAGGCCCUGCUUUUGUGGGGUGCUCGAGUGGCGAACGGGUGAGUAACACGUGAGUAACCUGCCCUUGACUUUGGGAUAACUUCAGGAAACUGGGGCUAAUACCGGAUAGGAGCUCCUGCUGCAUGGUGGGGGUUGGAAAGUUUCGGCGGUUGGGGAUGGACUCGCGGCUUAUCAGCUUGUUGGUGGGGUAGUGGCUUACCAAGGCUUUGACGGGUAGCCGGCCUGAGAGGGUGACCGGGCACAGUGGUGCGGAGGCGCCGCCGAGACUGCGGGGGAGGGGUGAAGAGGAUAAUGGUGCAAGGUGGGCGGCGGAGUGAUGCAGACGCGUGGCGGGGGGGAUGAGGGUCUGCGGGUUGUACGUCGUUUUCGGUGGGGACGGGGGGGGAGGGACGGUGAUGGAUGAAGAAGCAGCGACGAACGGGGUGCGAGCGGCGGGGGGAAGAGAUGGAGGAGACACGGCUGAAC
Molecule: ribosomal RNA, 508 nt
Filed under: uncultured bacterium
Lineage: Bacteria
Description: partial 16S ribosomal RNA
Rfam family: Bacterial small subunit ribosomal RNA (bases 21-326)
Source: RNAcentral